AGCAAACUCGUAUCCCGCUUCUCUUUGUCUAGAAAGAGAGAGUCCCGGUUCUCUCUAAAAUCAAAAGUCCAUCCUCUCCGUUCCACUUUCGACUUUUCUUCUCCACGGUUCGGACUAGGCCCAAUCUACCACCUUCUGGCAAUCAAUUGUCUACAUGCACCCCAUGGCGCAACUCCUUAGCUGCAGAUCUAUUGUUACAAUGUGAAACCGAGGUAAAAAUCUCAACGAGUAACUCUCAUGUGCAACUUAGCCCGCGCAUGCGCGCCCCCCACACACCAUCACGUCAAAACGAUUCCGACGAUUACACGUGUCAUACCAGUAAUUUCGUUAUCUCAAUUAGAUAUGACCCACCUCGUCUCACUAUCACCAGCAAAUGGACUCCAUGCUCCGUCACAAGUGAUUGCGAAGCUCGACCACCAACAGUUCGGGCCAGUUGAUGUUAUUUAUCCCACUAUGUUUUUGCAUUUCCUAACCGAAUAUUUUGAGGCUGAGGACAUCGGUCUCUUCCAUGAAUAUCUCAAGGCAACAAACUGCAGUGCAUCACCAAUAACCACUGCUUGUGGCACCACAGUUCGUUGUUCACACAAUGAACUGUAAAAAUAACAUUAUUUAAGAUGGUGCCCUCUUUGCAGGGAAUGGGUGGAGACCAAUUUUUUUAUUCCAGAACCUGAUCUAUUUUCACUUUUACACUGUAAUUGUUAUAACGGAACGUUUGUUAGAAAAUCCCUCCACCUCAUGUAAUUUGAUCUCUUUAUGAUAAUGAAAUGCUAAAAAUUGUAUUAUUAAA
Long non-coding RNA from Carya illinoinensis, 787 nucleotides. RefSeq lists it as uncharacterized. The record is from RefSeq and is a predicted model, not a curated record. The transcript has 2 exons. NCBI's taxonomy places the organism in Eukaryota, Viridiplantae, Streptophyta, Magnoliopsida, Fagales, Juglandaceae.